AAAAACACGGUCUCCAUUAUCCUUAUUCUAGGCUGUUUGUGUAAAUGUGCCUUACCUGUCUAACUGUCAAAUUUAUUAAAACUAAACUGUCAAUGUCAACCUGACAUAACCUUAACCUGUUUGGCUGUUUUUUUUUUCCGCACUAAUCAAAACAAAAGCAUGCGUCGUUGUGUUCAACAACAUCGAUCGCACGAAGAAAUCUAAUGUUUACCCGAUUAAACUUACGAAACUCUAAAAUAAUGAGUGAAUCUUACAGGACCAAACAUAACAAUGCAAACCCAACUACACUCUUUGUUGAACUAAAACCCAUGAUAAACCACUGAUCAAACCAUCCACUGUGACAAAAAAUUCACAAUCCCUCACUAAUUAUAUACCAAAGUUACUAUUCUACAAUAAGAUAUGACAUACUUUGUGAAUGCUGAUGAUGAUGAUGUUCUAUAUUUGACAACCAAACUCUGAGACUAUAUACUAUGAAGUAAACAUCCUGACUCAGGUGAAGAAGUGUAUUGCAACCGCGCUCAAAAUAGGAACAACUAAACUACCCGCAUAAUUCUUAACUUACAAAGAAUAUAUUGACACUAAAUGAGGUCCUAGCCUACUUUAUAUGGUCUAACACUUUAUCAACAACAGUUUACUUGAUCUACAUUAAUUGUUUUCUAAAUUUAUUGUUAUGUCUGACCGCUACCCUUUCAUCACAAAAUAUUUUUUUAUUAUUUUUUCUUUCAAAUGAGAUUAAUGUUAUAUUUUCUUUUCUUUAUUAACUGUAACUCAUUGUAUUUGUUUAGAGAAAUGUCUGAUAACAUAUUCUGCUACUAAUUGGCUCUCUGGAAUUUCAUAAUUAGACAUUUGGGCUUUUCCGGUUACUCUAAGUUAGAAUGAUA
This is a long non-coding RNA of Plutella xylostella (diamondback moth), 881 nucleotides long. RefSeq lists it as uncharacterized. NCBI's taxonomy places the organism in Eukaryota, Metazoa, Arthropoda, Insecta, Lepidoptera, Plutellidae. The record is from RefSeq and is a predicted model, not a curated record.